Molecule: long non-coding RNA, 1796 nt
Organism: Electrophorus electricus (electric eel)
Lineage: Eukaryota; Metazoa; Chordata; Actinopteri; Gymnotiformes; Gymnotidae
Source: RefSeq, a predicted model, not a curated record
GGAAGCGGACGCCUGAUAAACAAACAAGGGAAGCAGGCUAUAACAUAGGCUAGGAAACACGAAGGCCAGCAUAACAUCACAGACGGGCUUUCCUACAUCCUUCAAACACAAUGAAAACCAAAAACACAGGCAUUCAGACAGGCUGAAGUUGCAGGAGUUUUGUAAAGUAAUGACAAAGAUCCCAGAAAUGUCAAAGGCUACAGUACAUAUGAAGGACCCUGAACAUCUAGAGCAGAUUCUGGAGUCCAUUAAGCCCUCUGGACCCAAUACUUUACAGGUGAUCUCAGAUUUUGAUAUGACACUCACAAGAUUUGCCUACAAUGGGAAGCGAUGUCCCACCUCCCACACUCUUCAGCCAGAUGCAAAUUGAAGUGCAGGCACUGUUAAGUGCCCUUUGCAGGUUGAUUCAGGACUUUGCUGUCAGAUUUAUACUGGAUCCAGGAGUUCGUGAUGGCAACAUCAGAGAAGCGACCAAUUACACAGAAGAUUCUGGCAGAGCAGCGACAAUCACAAAAUGCCUGGGAGAGAUGAUUGUCAAAGACCUCCAGCCUCUGUCCAUAGAGGAAGAAGAGGGUUUCUAGGGAUUAGAGAGGACCCUUGAUCCCAGAUAUAAAAUCCUUAUCAGAAUAACAAUGACUGAGAAUCAUUUAUUGUCUAUGUGUAAUGAGUGAAAAGGUAAAGUCAGGACAAUUCUGCAAAAUGCACAAAGUAUUGUGCUUGCUGGUAAGUGUCUGGUUCAGUCAUAAAUGUUGGCUUGAUAUGAACCCAUUCAUAUGCCAAUGAAAGGCUGCAGUAUCUUCCUAUAUACCAACUUACAUCUUUAUUCUUCUGAAAUCCUUGGCAGAAAUGUUUUGCAUGACACAUUAGGACACAAAGAAAAUGCCUGCUGUGAUAGUGUGGAGAUCUACCAUAAUGGCCAGUGGGGAACAGUGUGUGAUGAUCACUGGGACAUAAAGUGUUGGUGUGCAGACAGCUGGGAUGUGGCCGAGCUCUCAGGGCCCCUACCAGUGCCCGCUUUGGUCAGGGAAGUGGCCCAGUAUUUCUGGUUGAUGUUGGUUGUUUUGGAAGUGAAGGCUCCCUCAAACAGUGCUCUCAUCUUGGAUUUGGAACACAACUGUAACCAUGGUGAAGAUGCUGGUGUUACAUGUUCAGUUAUGGAGAAACCUUUAUAGGUUAGAAAACAAAUACAACAUCCAGUGAUACUUGAAAUAAUGCAGUGAUCCUGAAGGACACUGCAUCACUGCCACCUGUUUCUGUCAACACAGCACUACAUUUGAAAAAAUAGAUUUGCAUUACCUGAAGAAAAUGCAUAGUGCUUGCAAAGAGCUGAAAGGUGCUGGUUACAAUGGCAUUGCUAGUGGUUGCUGUGGUGUUCUACAUUUACAGCAUUUAGCAGACAUUUUUAUCCAAAGCGACUUACAAUUCCAACUAAACACAACUUAUGCAACUGAGGGUUAAAGGCCUUGUGCAGGGGCCAACAGCAUCAACCAGGCUGUUGUGGGACUUGGACUGGCAACUGGCAACCUUCAAGUACCUUAACCACUGAGCUACCACUGCGUUCUAGGUUGUUGCUCCGCUUUUGUUAAGUAGUUGCUAGGUAGUUACUAUGCUGUUACUACGUGGAUGCUAACCAAUUGCUGUGGUAUCCCAGGUUGUUGCUAGUGUGGUACUAAGUGUUUUUUAUGUACUGCCUGUGGAUGACUCCAUUUAGUUUUAACACUGUUCAUCUGUAAAUGUGCUCAGUAAAACCAACAUUGUAAAUGUUUUUAAAUGUUCACAAUAACAUGGCAUGUUUG